RNAcentral lists this ribosomal RNA (495 nucleotides) under uncultured bacterium. Its description in RNAcentral is "partial 16S ribosomal RNA". It matches the Rfam family "Bacterial small subunit ribosomal RNA", at positions 28 to 507 of the family's 1533-position model. The record is from RNAcentral.
GACGAACGCUGGCGGCGUGCCUAAUACAUGCAAGUAGAACGCUGAAGGAGGAGCUUGCUCUUCUGGAUGAGUUGCGAACGGGUGAGUAACGCGUAGGUAACCUGCCUGGUAGUGGGGGAUAACUAUUGGAAACGAUAGCUAAUACCGCACAAUAACAGUUGUUGCAUGACAACUGUUUGAAAGGUGCAAUUGCAUCACUACCAGAUGGACCUGCGUUGGAUUAGCUAGUUGGUGGGGUAACGGCUCACCAAGGCGACGAUACAUAGCCGACCUGAGAGGGUGAUCGGCCAGACUGGGAGGGAGACACGGCCCAGACUCCCAGGGGAGGCAGCAGUAGGGAAUCUUCGGCAAUGGACGAAAGUCUGACCGAGCAACGCCGCGUGAGUGAAGAAGGUUUUCGGAUCGUAAAGCUCUGUUGUAAGAGAAGAACGAGUGUGAGAGUGGAAAGUUCACACUGUGACGGUAUCUUACCAGAAAGGGACGGCUAACUACGUG